GCUCCUGAAUUCAGCGGCGGACGGGUGAGUAAUGCCUAGGAAUCUGCCUGGUAGUGGGGGACAACGUUUCGAAAGGAACGCUAAUACCGCAUACGUCCUACGGGAGAAAGCAGGGGACCUUCGGGCCUUGCGCUAUCAGAUGAGCCUAGGUCGGAUUAGCUUGUUGGUGAGGUAAUGGCUCACCAAGGCGACGAUCCGUAACUGGUCUGAGAGGAUGAUCAGUCACACUGGAACUGAGACACGGUCCAGACUCCUACGGGAGGCAGCAGUGGGGAAUAUUGGACAAUGGGCGAAAGCCUGAUCCAGCCAUGCCGCGUGUGUGAAGAAGGUCUUCGGAUUGUAAAGCACUUUAAGUUGGGAGGAAGGGUUGUA
RNAcentral lists this ribosomal RNA (372 nucleotides) under Pseudomonas monteilii. Its description in RNAcentral is "bacterial SSU rRNA". It matches the Rfam family "Bacterial small subunit ribosomal RNA", at positions 82 to 457 of the family's 1533-position model. The record is from RNAcentral. Lineage: Bacteria; Pseudomonadati; Pseudomonadota; Gammaproteobacteria; Pseudomonadales; Pseudomonadaceae.